RNAcentral lists this ribosomal RNA (667 nucleotides) under uncultured fungus. RNAcentral describes it as "eukaryotic LSU rRNA". It matches the Rfam family "Eukaryotic large subunit ribosomal RNA", at positions 24 to 664 of the family's 3401-position model. Lineage: Eukaryota; Fungi. The record is from RNAcentral.
CCCGCUGAACUUAAGCAUAUCAAUAAGCGGAGGAAAAGAAACUAACAAGGAUUCCCCUAGUAACUGCGAGUGAAGCGGGAAAAGCUCAAAUUUAAAAUCUGGUGGUCUUUGGCCAUCCGAGUUGUAAUUUAGAGAAGCGUCUUCCGCGCUGGACCAUGCAUAAGUCUCCUGGAAUGGAGCGUCAUAGAGGGUGAGAAUCCCGUCUUUGGCAUGGACCCCCAGGGCUUCUGUGAUGCGCUCUCAAAGAGUCGAGUUGUUUGGGAAUGCAGCUCAGAAUGGGUGGUGAACUCCAUCUAAAGCUAAAUAUUGGCGAGAGACCGAUAGCGAACAAGUACCGUGAGGGAAAGAUGAAAAGCACUUUGGAAAGAGAGUGAAACAGUACGUGAAAUUGUUGAAAGGGAAACGCUUGAAGUCAGUCGCGUCGGCCGAGACUCAGCCUUGCCUCGGCUUGGUGUAUUUCUUGGCCCGACGGGUCAGCAUCAAUUUUGCCCCUUGGAUAAUGGCUAGGGAAAUGUGACACCUUUAUAGGUGUGUUAUAGUCUCUCGUCGCAUGCAAGGGUCAGGAUUGAGGAACUCAGCAUGCACCUUCGGGUGUCGGGGCUUUUGUCCACGAUACAUGCUUAGGAUGUUGGCGUAAUGGCUUUAAACGACCCGUCUUGAAACACGG